AAACGCUGGCGGCGUGCCUAAUACAUGCAAGUCGAGCGAACAGACGAGGAGCUUGCUCCUCUGACGUUAGCGGCGGACGGGUGAGUAACACGUGGAUAACCUACCUAUAAGACUGGGAUAACUUCGGGAAACCGGAGCUAAUACCGGAUAAUAUAUUGAACCGCAUGGUUCAAUAGUGAAAGACGGUUUUGCUGUCACUUAUAGAUGGAUCCGCGCCGCAUUAGCUAGUUGGUAAGGUAACGGCUUACCAAGGCAACGAUGCGUAGCCGACCUGAGAGGGUGAUCGGCCACACUGGAACUGAGACACGGUCCAGACUCCUACGGGAGGCAGCAGUAGGGAAUCUUCCGCAAUGGGCGAAAGCCUGACGGAGCAACGCCGCGUGAGUGAUGAAGGUCUUCGGAUCGUAAAACUCUGUUAUUAGGGAAGAACAAAUGUGUAAGUAACUAUGCACGUCUUGACGGUACCUAAUCAGAAAGCCACG
This 482-nucleotide ribosomal RNA is filed under the name Staphylococcus epidermidis. Its description in RNAcentral is "bacterial SSU rRNA". It matches the Rfam family "Bacterial small subunit ribosomal RNA", at positions 32 to 495 of the family's 1533-position model. The record is from RNAcentral. Lineage: Bacteria; Bacillati; Bacillota; Bacilli; Caryophanales; Staphylococcaceae.